UGAUUAUAGUGAAUUCUGCAGUGCGCAA
This 28-nucleotide non-coding RNA is filed under the name Bombyx mori (domestic silkworm). Lineage: Eukaryota; Metazoa; Arthropoda; Insecta; Lepidoptera; Bombycidae. The record is from RNAcentral.